This 477-nucleotide ribosomal RNA is filed under the name uncultured bacterium. RNAcentral describes it as "partial 16S ribosomal RNA". It matches the Rfam family "Bacterial small subunit ribosomal RNA", at positions 28 to 507 of the family's 1533-position model. The record is from RNAcentral.
GAUUAACGCUGGCGGCGUGCAUAACACAUGCAAGUCGAACGAUGAAACUUUAAUGAACCCUUCGGGGAGAAUUAAAGCGGAUUAGUGGCGAACGGGUGAGUAACGCGUGAGUAACCUGCCUUACACAAGGGGAUAGCCUUUGGAAACGAAGAAUAAUACCCUAUAAAACCAUAAAAGCACAUGCAAUUAUGGUCAAAGUGAUAGCGGUGUAAGAUGGACUUGCGUCUGAUUAGCUAGUUGGUGAGAUAAAAGCCCACCAAGGCAACGAUCAGUAGCCGGCUUGAGAGAGUGUACGGCAACAUUGGGACUGAGACACGGCCCAGACUCCUACGGGAGGCAGCAGUGGGGAAUGUUGCACAAUGGGGGAAACCCUGAUGCAGCGACGCCGCGUGAUUUAGAAGGCCUUCGGGUUGUAAAAAUCUUUUGUAUAGGAAGAAAAUGACAGUACUAUACGAAUAAGGUCCGGCUAAUUACGUG